AAAAUUAUACUUUCAGGGAUCAUCUCUAUAGUUUCUUACUAGAGAAGUUUCUGUGAAUGUGUAGAGCACUGGCAAUUACAAGGCCAAGGCUCAGCAUUCUCACCUAAGCAUGAAGUUAACUCUUGAUGUUGGUUGGCUGCAACUGCCAUUUGCCAUUAAUGACCAUUAAUGGCAAAUGACCUACCACAGGAAGACCAUUCUCUUCCUGUGGCAGAGGAAAAGGGAGAGAAUGCACUUUGAGUGGU
This 245-nucleotide small nucleolar RNA is filed under the name Aotus nancymaae (Ma's night monkey). RNAcentral describes it as "Small nucleolar RNA U3 (ENSANAG00000009461.1)". It matches the Rfam family "Small nucleolar RNA U3". From Rfam's summary of the family: Small nucleolar RNAs (snoRNAs) are involved in the processing and modification of rRNA in the nucleolus. There are two main classes of snoRNAs: the box C/D class, and the box H/ACA class. The record is from Rfam by way of RNAcentral. Lineage: Eukaryota; Metazoa; Chordata; Mammalia; Primates; Aotidae.